UCGUGCACCAUGGAUCAUAGAGGCUAAUACAACCAUGUCGGUACUUUUCUAAGAUAAACACAGAACUGUCAAGUUCUGUCCAGGUGAAGGUCAUUAAACUCAACGCAUCUAAGUCUAACUACUCUACUGCUAUAUUACAACUGAAAACUAAUAUUUCAACCUUCCUGGGAUGAAUCAAAACAGCCAGGGAUCACAAGCAUGGUGUGUUUAAAAAAAGGAAAACA
RNAcentral lists this long non-coding RNA (224 nucleotides) under Hordeum vulgare. RNAcentral describes it as "long non-coding RNA (HVUL_LNC015166)". The record is from RNAcentral. Lineage: Eukaryota; Viridiplantae; Streptophyta; Magnoliopsida; Poales; Poaceae.